GAAGCUGGAAUCGCUAGUAAUCGCGGAUCAGAAUGCCGCGGUGAAUACGUUCCCGGGUCUUGUACACACCGCCCGUCACACCAUGGGAGUCGGAAAUGCCCGAAGUCUGUGACCUAACCGUAAGGAAGGAGCAGCCGAAGGCAGGUCGGAUGACUGGGGUGAAGUCGUAACAAGGUAUC
Molecule: ribosomal RNA, 179 nt
Filed under: uncultured bacterium
Lineage: Bacteria
Description: partial 16S ribosomal RNA
Rfam family: Bacterial small subunit ribosomal RNA
Source: RNAcentral